Molecule: ribosomal RNA, 1613 nt
Filed under: Extubocellulus spinifer
Lineage: Eukaryota; Bacillariophyta; Thalassiosirophyceae; Cymatosirales; Cymatosiraceae
Description: partial Bacterial large subunit ribosomal RNA
Rfam family: Bacterial large subunit ribosomal RNA
Source: RNAcentral
GGGAAUGCCUAGGCUCUCAGAGGCGAUGAAGGACGUGAUAAGCUGCGAAAAGUUGCGGGGAUCUGCACACAAGAAUUGAUCCGCAAAUAUCCGAAUGGGGCAACCUGGCAUAUUGAAGAUAUGUUAUCCGCAAGGAGGCGAACCCGGAGAACUGAAACAUCUAAGUACCCGGAGGAGAAGAAAACAAAAGUGAUUCCGAUAGUAGCGGCGAGCGAACUUGGAUUAGCCCAAACCAAUAUUGUUACGGCAAUAUUGGGGUUGUAGGACUACGAUAUUCUGUGCUUUAUGAAUUAGAACGCUUUGGAAAGAGCGGCCAUAGACGGUGAUAGCCCGGUAUAAGUAAAGACAGUUACAGAUAGUAGUAUCCUGAGUAGUGCGGGGCACGUGAAACCCUGUAUGAAUUUGGCGGGACCAUCCGUUAAGGCUAAAUACUCCUGAGAGACCGAUAGUGAACCAGUACCGUGAGGGAAAGGCGAAAAGAACCCCUGUGAGGGGAGUGAAAUAGAACCUGAAACCGUAUACGUACAAGCAGUGGGAGCCCUUCGGGGUGACUGCGUACCUUUUGUAUAAUGGGUCAGCGACUUAUAUUUAGUAGCAAGGUUAAGCGAAUAGCGGAGCCGUAGCGAAAGCGAGUGUUAACUGCGCGUUUAGUUGCUAGGUAUAGACCCGAAACCGAGUGAUCUAGCCAUGGGCAGGUUGAAGGUUGAGUAACAUCAACUGGAGGACCGAACCGACUAACUUUGAAAAGUUAGCGGAUGACUUGUGGCUGGGGGUGAAAGGCCAAUCAAACUCGGAGAUAGCUGGUUCUCCCCGAAAGCUAUUUAGGUAGCGCCUCGGACGAAUACCACAGGGGGUAGAGCACUGUUAAGGCUAGGGGGUCAUCCCGACUUACCAACCCUUUGCAAACUCCGAAUACCAAUGAGAACUAUCCGGGAGACACACGGCGGGUGCUAACGUCCGUCGUGGAGAGGGAAACAACCCAGACCGCCAGCUAAGGUCCCAAAAUAUUGCUAAGUGGGAAACGAUGUGGGAAGGCAUAGACAGCUAGGAGGUUGGCUUAGAAGCAGCCACCCUUUAAAGAAAGCGUAAUAGCUCACUAGUCGAGUCGGCCUGCGCGGAAGAUGUAACGGGGCUAAGCAAUAUACCGAAGCUGCGGCAGCAUAGUUUACUAUGCUGGGUAGGGGAGCGUUGUGUAAGUGGAUGAAGGUGAGUUGUAAAGCUUGCUGGACAUAUCACAAGUGCGAAUGCUGACAUGAGUAACGAUAAGGGGAGUGAAAAACUCCCCCGCCGGAAGACCAAGGUUUCCUGUCCCAUGCUAAUCAGGGCAGGGUAAGUCGGCCCCUAAGGCGAGGCAGAAAUGCGUAGUCGAUGGGAAACGGAUUAAUAUUUCCGUACUUAUAUAAUCAGUGAUGGAGGGACGGAGAAGGCUAGGCAAGCUUGGCGUUGGUUGUCCAAGUGAAAGCGAGUAGGCCGAGAAUUUAGGUAAAUCCGGAUUCUUAAAGCUGAGACGCGAGACGAGCUCCCAAGGGAGUGAAGUUGUUGAUGCCCUGCUUCCAGGAAAAGCUUCUAAACUUAUGAUUAUAUGAACCGUACCCCAAACCGACACAGGUGGU